AACGAACGCUGGCGGCAUGCCUAACACAUGCAAGUCGAACGAGCCCUUCGGGUCUAGUGGCGCACGGUUGCGUAACGCGUGGGAACCUUCCCUUAGGUUCGGCAUAACUCCCCGACAGGGUUGCUAAUACCGGAUAAUGUCUUCGGACCAAAGAUUUAUCGCCUUUGGAUGGGCCCGCGUUGGAUUAGCUAGUUGGUAGGGUAAAAGCCUACCAAGGCGUCGAUCCAUAGCUGGUCUGAGAGGAUGAUCAGCCACACUGGGACUGAGACACGGCCCAGACUCCUACGGGAGGCAGGAGUGGGGAAUAUUGGACAAUGGGCGAAAGCAUGAACCAGCAAUGCCGCGUGAGUGAUGAAGGCCUUAGGGUUGUAAAGCUCUUUUACCCGGGAUGAUAAUGACAGUACCGGAAGAAUAAGCUCCGGCUAACUCCGUG
This 433-nucleotide ribosomal RNA is filed under the name uncultured bacterium. RNAcentral's name for it is "partial 16S ribosomal RNA". It matches the Rfam family "Bacterial small subunit ribosomal RNA", at positions 29 to 507 of the family's 1533-position model. The record is from RNAcentral.